Molecule: antisense RNA, 75 nt
Filed under: Allokutzneria albata
Lineage: Bacteria; Bacillati; Actinomycetota; Actinomycetes; Pseudonocardiales; Pseudonocardiaceae
Description: Kibdelosporangium albatum ASpks TB sRNA
Rfam family: ASpks TB sRNA
Source: Rfam by way of RNAcentral
CUUCACCGAUCCGAUCCACAGUGGGCGAUCGUCGGCCCGUGCCUGGCCGUAGGUCUCCAGCAGCGCGUGCGCCUC